Long non-coding RNA from Cyprinus carpio carpio, 1049 nucleotides. Lineage: Eukaryota; Metazoa; Chordata; Actinopteri; Cypriniformes; Cyprinidae. The record is from Ensembl.
CAGUUAGCCCCAAAAUGUAUCAAAGGCAAACUUCAAGACAUGAGGACUCUGGGCUCUGUGACAUAAAAGACAAAAUCGAGGAGGUCCUUCUAGCAUCGGAGGGUUUACCGGCUGUUUCAGCCAAGCUGAGAGAGCUGUGCAAGCGUAGCGAGGGCCUUACUGAACAGCAGAGUGAGGUUCUAAGAACCUCGUUCAAGUGCUGUGUGUGCAGAGGAGUGAUGGACAGUCCCGUAUUGGCACGCUGCUGUCGCAGUCUAAUUGGCUGUAGACAGUGUGUUGAUUUAUUUGUUCAGGAAGGUCAAGCAUGUGUAAAAUGCAGGUCUGCCAUUUCAAGAGAAUCAAUUGUGGUUGUUGCUGGCCUCUCUGAAGUUUUAAAUGUUAUUAAGGCCUUAGAUGAGCAGUACAGCUCGGCCUGAGGUUGCAACGGUUAGUGUAGCAUUCUGAAGGAUAAAACAUAUGGCAAUAUGGACAUUUUUAAUACAAUAUAAAAAGUGUUUAUUUGCCAUGUGUCUAUUACCAUGUUUUGUUUUUUAAUACCAUUUCUAAUCUGAUUUGCAUUUUGAAUGUUUAAACAAUUCGUUGUAAUGUUUUUAUUCAUCAGGUCUGUUGACUGUUUUGUAAUAGUUUUUCUCAGCAUUCUUGAUGCGAAGUCAAUGUUUGCAUGUAACACGUUAAUGCAAAUAUGUAGUUUACACUAAAAAAUACAAUAUGCAAACUGAAAGAUUUUAAUAUUUCAUUGUAAUAGGUUUGUUAACUGUUUUGUAAUAGUUGUUGUCAGUAAUAUGUAAUACUUUAAUGCAUACCAAUGCAAUAAUAACAAUGCAAUGUAAACUGAUUGUUCCAGGCCAUCUUUUUCAAACCAUGGCCAUCUGUUUGUGAAAUGUUAAAGACGUUAAUGUUUUAAACAUGUUCUGUUUGCAUGCAGUGGCAUACUGAGUAAAAACAAAAUAAAGUUGUAGUUCAUUUACAUUUAAUUUAUUAGACUAUUUUGUCAGUACCAGUUUGUUUUGCUUUAAACUGACCAAUACAAAUCAUUGACUUAAAUGAUC